Syngnathoides biaculeatus (alligator pipefish) is the source of this 2351-nucleotide long non-coding RNA. RefSeq lists it as uncharacterized. The transcript is spliced from 9 exons. The record is from RefSeq and is a predicted model, not a curated record. NCBI's taxonomy places the organism in Eukaryota, Metazoa, Chordata, Actinopteri, Syngnathiformes, Syngnathidae.
UAUCUAGCCAAUCAGGUCACGGAACGUCAACACACCCGCAAAAUGUAUUGAGCGUGUCCUUCAAACAAAAAUGGAUUGGAGUUUAUGUUGUGGUAACCACAAAUAGAGACCGUGUUAGGAACAAAUGGAAUACUCAAAAGAUAUCCGUUUGGUAUGCACAGUUACUGAGAGAUACAGAGAUGUGCUACAGUUGUUUACCACCCCACAGUUCAAGAUGUCACACUGAGCUUGUGGACACCGGCAAAAUUAUUGAAAACUUUUAAAGGAAUUCAGCAUACUGCACAAGCAAAGGUUGAGACGGCUGGAACUGGACAAUAAUAAUGACAGAUGCCUGAUGUUCAACUGACGACUUUGUUACCACCCCAAAGGUCGCAAGUCAAGGCAAGCUGAAGUUGACACACUUGCAGAGUGAGAUUGCCUCUCUGCAAAGCCUCAACAAAGACCACAUGAAGGAAAUUGCAGAGAAAGACCACCGCAUCACUAAAAUGCAAGCUAGCAUUUUGCUGUUGCAAUAGGAGGGUUUCAACAUCCAUGCUCAGUUGGACCUCAUCAGGAAGCAGGCGGUGCAACAAAGUUUGGAGCUCUAUCAUCAGAAAGAGGAGCUUCUUCCUUGCAAGGAGGUUCUGAACCACAGGCCCACACAUGCGCAUGCACGGACGGGGUGAGGAGUUCAGCCUCCGUCUGCUUCCGUGCCAUAGAGCGACGCUAACAUAAAGCAGCUGGAUGAGACCGUGGUGUCAUUACAGGCCAUACAGGAUUCGCUGAGAAGAAUCUUGGCACCAAAGGAGAAACACACACAACAGCUGCUGGAAGACAAUGCUCAUCUUAAAGACAACCUGGCAGCACUGCAGAGCCAAAUAGUUACACACAAGGGACUGCACGUUGAGCGAUGUUCGCGCGACCCUGGAUCGAGCCCGUGUCAGUCUGGAAGCAGAGACGCAGAUGAGGCUGCAGAUCUAGCAACAGUCUGAGCAAGCCAGCAAAGUUGUGCAGUAUUUGCAGCAGGAAUUCACUAGUGUGCAUUGCACCACUGCAAAUAAGACCAAAGAAGAGUACUUUAGAGUGCAUGCACAGCAAGAUGUGUCCUUCAUGUUUAGACUGGUAACCCUAUGGAUGGACCAUUACUUUCAGUUCAGGGAUCCAGUUUCUGCUUCACAUCUGGCCCCGCUUAAUGCAGAAAACUGCUGUUUCUCUGAUCUCUUUGUACAUGUCAUACAUUCACACACUCCAUGCCUUCUUCAAUGCAUUUAUGACACUAGUCAUAAUGGCAUUUCCAAAUCGUCACAACACUCAAGAUUAGAAUGUACUUUACUGAAUCAUUAUUUUAAAAAUCUUUGGAUAUUCGUUAUUUUCAUGCACUCAAUGAAUUCCAAUCCAUUUUCAUGAGUCAUGCUUUAUGGUUCACCAUUAAUUCUAAGUCAGCUACAUGUCACAUCAUCACAAACUUUCCAGAAGAGCCACUUUAGAAGUUGAGAAAGAAAAGUUGUCAGUGAGAAAAUCCUUUGUCAUGGUAUAACAAACGUUGGGUGGGGGUCAAUUUUGGAAUUGACUGAGAGAGUGGCAGCACUUCGGGCAAUCAGAAGUUAAAGCCGUCUCUUUAUUUUUCAGUUAGACAUUGCAACAGAUUAAUAAUCUAAAUCUAUUUAGUUUAAACUAUCAGUGUUUAUAUUUUAUUUUUUGGUAAUAGGCAUAGUAAUUGCUGUAAUGAUUAAGAAUUUGCCAAUUGUGUGGUAUCGGGGUUAAAAAACUGCACUAUUAGAAGAAAUGAGUCUAAUGCACAAUCAGUUUACUUUAUUAUACUAUUCUGUUAAAAAAUAUGUACUGUAUAUAUACUCACAAGACAAAUCUUUUUUGGGCUUUCAGCCCCAAAAUGUCCUGAGCAAACACAUGAUACCAUUUUAUGAACAUACUGUAUUUGCUUAUCAAAAUUAUAUUUUUGUAAACCCAUAAAUAUUUCUUCAGUCAUUAAUACACGCAUGCGACACCUGAUGUGUACUAGAUCCUAUCCAUAACAGACAAUGAAUUUGAUUAAACAGUUAUUGUGUAUCCUCACUUGUUUAAGGGCAUACUCAUUUAUUUUGUCCCAUAGAAAUAAUUUUAAUUUCUUUGUUUUGUUCUAAUUUUUUUGUUUUCGAAAUUUGAUUUUAAUCAUCUCAGUGUGUGGUUGUGCAUGUUUGUGUGUAUGUAUCGGCAUCAAAUGGUACACCAUUGGGAAAAUGCUGGAAUUUUUUCACUUUCCUCAUACCCACUUCAUAUUUUUAAUUGAUACUGUUGGAUAACAAGCACGCUAACAUAAAUGACCUCCCUGGUUGACUUAAAAGGAAGAACAAAAUGUUAUUUUAUUUUUUUGU